RNAcentral lists this ribosomal RNA (245 nucleotides) under uncultured bacterium. Its description in RNAcentral is "partial 16S ribosomal RNA". It matches the Rfam family "Bacterial small subunit ribosomal RNA", at positions 524 to 764 of the family's 1533-position model. The record is from RNAcentral.
UACAGAGGGGGCAAGCGUUGUUCGGAAUUACUGGGCGUAAAGGGCGCGUAGGCGGCCUGCUAAGUCGAACGUGAAAUCCCCGGGCUCAACCCGGGAACUGCGUCCGAUACUGGCAGGCUUGAAUCCGGGAGAGGGAUGUGGAAUUCCAGGUGGUAGCGGUGAAAUGCGUAGAUAAUCUGGAGGAACACCGGUGGCGAAGGCGGCAGUCCUGGACCGGUAGUUGACGCUGAUGCGCGAAAGCCAGG